RNAcentral lists this ribosomal RNA (920 nucleotides) under uncultured archaeon. Its description in RNAcentral is "bacterial SSU rRNA". It matches the Rfam family "Archaeal small subunit ribosomal RNA", at positions 1 to 922 of the family's 1478-position model. The record is from RNAcentral.
UGAUUUUCCGGUUGACCCUGCCGGAGGUCACUGCUAUUGGGAUUCGACUAAGCCAUGCGAGUCGAGAGGGUUCGGCCCUCGGCUGACUGCUCAGUAACACGUGGAUAAUCUGCCCUAAGGUGGAGGAUAACCUCGGGAAACUGAGAAUAAUACUCCAUAGGUCUAAGAUACUGGAAUGUUCUUAGGCUGAAAACUCCGGUGCCUUAGGAUGAGUCUGCGGACUAUCAGGUUGUAGUCAGGGUAAAGACCUGACUAGCCUAUGACGGAUAUGGGUUGUGGGAGCAAUAACCCAGAGAUGAUAUCUGAGACACGAUAUCAGGCCCUACGGGGCGCAGCAGGCGCGAAAACUUCACAAUGCGCGAAAGCGCGAUGAGGGAAUCCCAAGUGCUUGCACGUAAGUGGAAGCUGUUUCUUUGUUUAAAAAGCAUUGAGAGUAAGGGCUGGGUAAGACGGGUGCCAGCCGCCGCGGUAAUACCUGCAGCUCGAGUGGUGAUCGUUAUUAUUGGGCCUAAAACGUUCGUAGCCGGUUUAGUAAAUGCCUGGGUAAAUCGUGCCGCUUAACGGUACGACUUCCGGGUAGACUGCUAAACUUGAGACCGGGAGAGGCUAGAGGUACUCCUGGGGUAGAGGUGAAAUUCUGUAAUCCUAGGGGGACCACCAGUGGCGAAGGCGUCUAGCUAGAACGGGUCUGACGGUGAGGGACGAAGCCCUGGGGCGCAAACCGGAUUAGAUACCCGGGUAGUCCAGGGUGUAAACGCUGCUUGCUUGAUGUUAGUCGGGCUCCGAGCCCGAUUAGUGUCGGAGAGAAGUUGUUAAGCAAGCUGCCUGGGAAGUACGGUCGCAAGACUGAAACUUAAAGGAAUUGGCGGGGGAGCACAGCAACAGGUGGAGCGUGCGGUUUAAUUGGAUUCAACGCCGGG